UGGGGAAUAUUGCACAAUGGGCGCAAGCCUGAUGCAGCCAUGCCGCGUGUGUGAAGAAGGCCUUCGGGUUGUAAAGCACUUUCAGCGGGGAGGAAGGCGUUAAGGUUAAUAACCUUGGCGAUUGACGUUACCCGCAGAAGAUGCACCGGCUAACUCCGUGCCAGCAGCCGCGGUAAUACGGAGGGUGCAAGCGUUAAUCGGAAUUACUGGGCGUAAAGCGCACGCAGGCGGUCUGUCAAGUCGGAUGUGAAAUCCCCGGGCUCAACCUGGGAACUGCAUUCGAAACUGGCAGGCUAGAGUCUUGUAGAGGGGGGUAGAAUUCCAGGUGUAGCGGUGAAAUGCGUAGAGAUCUGGAGGAAUACCGGUGGCGAAGGCGGCCCCCUGGACAAAGACUGACGCUCAGGUGCGAAAGCGUGGGGAGCAAACAGG
This 429-nucleotide ribosomal RNA is filed under the name Chloroflexota bacterium. Its description in RNAcentral is "Chloroflexi bacterium partial 16S ribosomal RNA". It matches the Rfam family "Bacterial small subunit ribosomal RNA", at positions 355 to 776 of the family's 1533-position model. The record is from RNAcentral. Lineage: Bacteria; Bacillati; Chloroflexota.